RNAcentral lists this unclassified non-coding RNA (145 nucleotides) under uncultured fungus. RNAcentral describes it as "sequence contains ITS1". The record is from RNAcentral. Lineage: Eukaryota; Fungi.
CAGAGUACUAUACUCAUAACCCUUUGUGAACCUUUAUAACUUGUUGCUUCGGCGGCGCGAGCCCCUCGGGGAGCGUGCCCGCCGGUGUCAUCAGAAUCUCUGUUCGAACCCGACGAUACUUCUGAGUGUUCUAAGCGAACUGUUA